AAAUCAUAUAUUUGAUAAAAUUGUGGGUUACAAUAUUGGAUAUUACAAGAGGAACAUCAUCCCAAUCUGAUGCAUAAUCUAAAUAUUUUCGACACAUCGAAAGUUCAACCAAAAGUAUCCAUCAACAUCCCUAAAACUUAUCUAAAACUUAACUGAGGAACAUCACCCAUCACCCAAAAUGAACAUCCCUACAACUUAACGAACAAUAAAAGCAUCCAUCAUCAUCAUCAUCAUCAUCAUGGACAGGAGCAUCAUGAUCUUCACACACCCAUAUAAUCAUCCAUUUAUUUUUUGCAUCUACAAACAAAAAAUCAAAAUGAACUGUUAACACACAGUGCAUUAACAUAUGCAAGUUGUUGUAGAGACAGAAUAUUAGUCAUUGUAUAUGCUCUGAUAUAUCUCUGUAUGCAAACUCGAUCCAGAAAUUCAUCUACAAAAGCUGAGUAAUAUUUACUUUCUCUAGGAAAUCACAUUAGUAAUUUUUUGAAUUCUAUAUACAUUGCACACUUCAUAAAAAUAACAAAUAUUACCGCCGAUGUAACCAUGAAUGAAUUGCAUAAUCUUAGCAUAUGAAUAUCGGAUUUGCGAUUCAAUCCCUAUCGUCGUACAAUAUAAUUGACAAUUAUAUUGUUCUUCAACAAUGCAAGGAUCAACCUCCCAGCCUUUGCUACAUAGCAGGCAGAAUUUUCUUCAAACAUUGUAAAAAGGCUAGUAAGGUGAUUCUACUUUUCAUACUAGUCAUGAACCCAUGCACAGACUAACAUUUUGUGUUUCACAUUGUUAGCUGGGAAUAACUACUAUGGUGAUCCAAAAUAGUUAGCUUCAAUAUGACAUCAAUAGUUAGCUUCAACAGAAGCCUUGUACAAUGCACACUUAUUCUCAUGACGGUGGCCUUGGUCUGAUGUGGUUAGGAGAAGACACCAAAAAGGAUUGGUGCGAAAUUUCUUAGAUUUACAGACCAUACGCAAGAAUAUUCGUAUGUCUUUAGAAUUUGCAAUAUAUUAGGCCUAAGUUUUAAAGCAUCGAUAUGACCAUAGAAAAUAAAAGUAUGCUUGAUGGCACAUAUAGUUUCACAUCCAGGGACAAAAGCUAUGAAGAAACUUACCUUAUCAAAUCAAAUAUGAGGCCGAAUUGGUAAUUCUCAAGUUCAUCCUCUCCUCUGCUUGCAUGCCACAUACCUAACUGGUACACGUGCUAAUUAGCUCAAGUAAACACUUGUUUUCUUUUAAACUAAAAACAAACCAUGAUAAUUUGCGUGCUGCAAAUACAAUAUAACAUAUGUUUUCGGUGAUGCAUAGUGACAUAAAUAUUACAAAUGGCACAAAUAAUGAUGAGUAAAUAUUUUGUGGGCAACGAACAAAAGUGAGAGUUGAAACUCUGGACCCAAAAAAGCAUGGUUGCAAAUCGAUAGUGUGUGUACUGUUCUAGCUUUCUAGGAACAUCUUAUUGGGCAAAACCAGCAAAUUUAUAUUGAAAUUGCUAAAAGAGUAACUAAUUUAUCGUGGAAUGGCUACAGGAGUACCUUAAUUUUAGAGGGAC
RNAcentral lists this long non-coding RNA (1539 nucleotides) under Triticum aestivum (bread wheat). RNAcentral describes it as "long non-coding RNA (TAES_LNC016842)". Lineage: Eukaryota; Viridiplantae; Streptophyta; Magnoliopsida; Poales; Poaceae. The record is from RNAcentral.